GCCUGGUUGGCUCAGUUGGUAAAGCAUGAGACUCUUAAUCUGGGGGUUGUGAGUUUAAGCCCCAUGCUGGGUA
Molecule: transfer RNA, 73 nt
Filed under: Canis lupus familiaris (dog)
Lineage: Eukaryota; Metazoa; Chordata; Mammalia; Carnivora; Canidae
Also listed under: 3 other names
Rfam family: tRNA
About the family: Transfer RNA (tRNA) molecules are approximately 80 nucleotides in length. Their secondary structure includes four short double-helical elements and three loops (D, anti-codon, and T loops).
Source: Rfam by way of RNAcentral